This 652-nucleotide long non-coding RNA is filed under the name Homo sapiens (human). RNAcentral's name for it is "HSALNT0369999". The record is from RNAcentral. Lineage: Eukaryota; Metazoa; Chordata; Mammalia; Primates; Hominidae.
GGCAAGUCAUCACUAUGAUUGGGAAAGAAGCCAAAAUUAUAAUAAAAUGAAAACCUGUGCAUCAAAUCUGAAGGAUGAGUAUAAAAUAGGAUAAACAGUCUUAAAUGAAGAAAUUCAAAAAUAGGAAGCUGAAUUACUUCUCUGAGGAUGUCUUGUCACUAAAACAUGGAGAAUCCAACCUACCCUGCGUAGUUGUGGAAUCCCUCAGAUGACAGCAGUGAAGGGCUUUUGUGAUGAUCAUAGGAAGUUAUGUAUAUGAAAGUACCUUGAAAAAUAUAAACUGUUAUGAAUACGUACAAGCGGUAACAGAAGUCCAACCAAAAUUCCAAAGUGCAUCCUGAUUUCUUUCUCGAUUGUGAUGUUACAAGAACUCAGCUUCUUUUUCUCGAAUCACAAAAUACCAAUACGUGAAAAAUGACCCUGCCCUUUAGAAACUAUUUCAAACCUGUAACCAAGAGUGUAUAUUUUCUUUUGCCACCUGCAAAAUGUAUAAUAAAAAAAAUAGUUCAGCCUCUGAAGAAUAUACAAUUGUCAAAAAUCAAAAUGAAAACUCAAAGGAAAAUGUAAGAAAUAGCAACACUUCCCAUCAGCAGGUAAAUAAGUCUUUGAUAGAUCAGAACUGGGAACAACUGUCUGGAGGAGGAACAUUCUA